GCUGUUGGGUAGCACUAAAAAUAAAAUUUAAAAAACCCAACAACUUCUAUCCAGGCCAUUCAUGUCCUAUCAAACAGUUUCACUGGGCACUAAAGCAUGCUCAUAAAAUUUAUAUUUUAUUGCUUCCUCUUAUAUCAGAUUAACUACCAACUAGUAUCAUGUUUGCCCUACAGGCUUCCACCAUCUUUCCAAAUAGAGUAUGAAAGAGACUACUGACUGUUCAUGAGGCCUGUGUCUUCCUCUUCCUGAGUCCUUCCUGAGCCCACAGCUACAUUAAAUUUCCCAGACUCUUUUUUGUUGAGUUCGACAAUGUGACUGAGUGCGAAUCAGUGUCAUAUGAGAAGACAUGAUGUAACAGUUACAGGCCUAGCCUAUAAAUGUCUGCCUAGUGUGUAAUAUCUCCCUUCAUGCUCAUCCACUCUGUACAUAAAUGAUUUCAAAAUCUGCCUCAGUGUAAAAGGAAUAGCAUAUACAUGAUGAUGGCAGCAUGAACAAGAAAAACACACUCUUACACAGUUAAGCUAAUGAAAUAUUGGGGAUUGCUUGUUGCAACACCCAUGGUUACUGUAAUGCAUGAAGGCAGAUGAUAUUUUUAGUAAGGUUGAACAUGUCAUAUUAUAAGAUGUGUGCAUUUUUGCCAUGUAUUGCAUUUCCGCUUUGAGGCAUUGUUCCUUUCCUUAUGAUGUGUGUUCUAGCCCAACAGAAUUCUGUGGAAGUUAUGAAGUGGAAGGCAGGAGAACGCAAAGCUUUGAAGAAGAGAAAGAGGUUUGAGAGCUUGAAUUCAGGUUAUUCAUUUUUGGCAAGAAUACUAAAAAGUUCUGUGAUGCUCUGAAGAGAGAGAGGCCACAUAUGAGGAGAGAGAUCUCCACUACCUCAAAGUUAGUUGAAUUCUAUGAGAGAUUAAAAGGUAGGUUGCUGGAUUUCUUUCGUUUUGCUUUCGUUUUUAUCCACUUGGUUGUUUGUAGAUCUGUAUUUGAAGGUAGGUUGAAGUGUCUGCUUCUUAUUCCUCUCUAAUUCACCCUCUAUGCUGUUUUAAUUCCUAGAACUGACAAGGAAUACCACUCAGUAGCCUCGAAUAGCCAUGGUUAAUUGCCUUCACUUUCUCACCUGUAUCUUUUUCUUGCAAAAGCAUUUUGUUUUGUUUGGCUUUUUUUAUUUUGGUUUUUAAACAGGCCAUGUGUUCUGGCCUAAAUGAUGG
This 1198-nucleotide long non-coding RNA is filed under the name Callithrix jacchus (white-tufted-ear marmoset). Its description in RNAcentral is "lncRNA (ENSCJAG00000084454.1)". Lineage: Eukaryota; Metazoa; Chordata; Mammalia; Primates; Cebidae. The record is from RNAcentral.